This 655-nucleotide ribosomal RNA is filed under the name uncultured bacterium. RNAcentral describes it as "bacterial SSU rRNA". It matches the Rfam family "Bacterial small subunit ribosomal RNA", at positions 8 to 679 of the family's 1533-position model. The record is from RNAcentral.
AGAGUUUGAUCCUGGCUCAGGACCAACGCUGGCGGCGUGCGUAACACAUGCAAGUCGGACGCGCGGGGGCAACCCUGGACGCGUGGCGGACGGGUGAGGAACACGUGAGCAACCUGGCCUUUAGNUGGGGGACAACCUGCAGAAAUGCGGGCUAAUCCCGCAUACGGCCGUACGGGGAGGGCCGUACGGAGAAAGCCGAGAGGCGCUAAAGGAGGGGCUUGCGGCCGAUUAGCUAGCUGGUGGGGUAACGGCUCACCAGGGCGACGAUCGGUAGCUGGUCUGAGAGGACGAGCAGCCACACUGGGAUUGAGAACGGCCCAGACUCCUACGGGGGGCAGCAGUGAGGAAUCUUCGGCAAUGGGGGCAACCCUGNACCGAGCGACGCCGCGUGCGGGAAGACGGCCUUCGGGUUGUAAACCGCUUUUCUGUGGGACGNCAAGCAGGACGGUACCACANGAAGAAGCCUCGGCUAACUACGUGCCAGCAGCCGCGGUAAUACGUAGGAGGCGAGCGUUGUCCGGAGUUACUGGGCGUAAAGGGUGCGCAGGCGGCGGUUCGCGUGGAUANAUGAAAUCUCCUGGGCUUACCUGGGAGGAUGGUAUCCAGACGGGAUCGCUUGAGGGUCGGAGAGGGGGCGUGGAAUUCCGGGUGGAGC